RNAcentral lists this long non-coding RNA (272 nucleotides) under Salvia miltiorrhiza (redroot sage). RNAcentral's name for it is "long non-coding RNA (SMIL_LNC013450)". The record is from RNAcentral. Lineage: Eukaryota; Viridiplantae; Streptophyta; Magnoliopsida; Lamiales; Lamiaceae.
UGCGAGCCUUAAACAGAGCAGAGUGCACAAAAACAUUUUAUUGGAUAAACAGUUUUCAUUACAUUAAAUAAACAAUUUGCAUUUCAUUGAAAUAUUUAGAGCUUAAUAACUCAAUCAUACUUUGUACAUUUGGAAAGUAAGCCCACCUGGUUAGGCAAAGCCUGAAGAUCAUAAUCACAUAUAAACCUGUCUUGGGAAAGCAGCGCUAAUCCCCCUGGUCACAAAGCCUACAAGAAAUUCUAUUCUUAAUAGGUCUCGUGAAGCUAAUCUUA